AUUGGCACUUUUGGAAUUGUC
This 21-nucleotide microRNA is filed under the name Echinococcus granulosus. RNAcentral describes it as "egr-miR-96-5p". Its record names the gene egr-miR-96-5p. The record is from miRBase by way of RNAcentral. RNAcentral also lists the same sequence under 1 other name. Lineage: Eukaryota; Metazoa; Platyhelminthes; Cestoda; Cyclophyllidea; Taeniidae.